UGUGACCAAGCGAACCAAGGGCACAUGGUGGAUGUCUUGGCGUCGAGAGGCGAUGAAGGACGUGGGAACCUGCGAAAUGCCCAGGGGAGUUGGUAACCGAGCUGUGAUCCUGGGAUAUCCGAAUGGGGCAACCCGGUCCGCCAUUGGCGGAUCACUCUUGUCUGAAUGCAUAGGACAAGAGGGCGAACCUGGUGAACUGAAACAUCUCAGUAACCAGAGGAAAAGAAAGCAAAAGCGAUUCCGUAAGUAGCGGCGAGCGAAAGCGGACCAGCCCAAACCAGGCUUAGGCCUGGGGCACCAUAAUCGAAGUGAAAGCGUUACGAACGUUCUGGAAAGUGCGACCAAAGAGGGUGACAGUCCUGUAGUGACGUGGAAACGGAGAGGGUGCAUAGAGUAGCGUCGAGCUCGUGAAACUUGGCGUGAAUAAUGCGGGGUCCACCCCGUAAGGCUAAAUACUCCUCGACGACCGAUAGUGAAUCAGUAAGGCGACUGAAUGAUGAAAACCACCCCUAUAAGGGGAGUGAAAUAGGAGCUGAAACCAUGUGCUUACAAGCGGUCGGAGUCCGCCAUUGGCGGAUGACGGCGUGCCUUUUGCAUAAUGAGCCGGCGAGUUAUCUUUUACGGCAAGGUUAAGCCUGAUCCAGGCGGAGCCGAAGGGAAACCGAGUCUUAACCGGGCGUUGAGUCGUAAGGGAUAGACGCGAAACCAGGUGAUCUACCCAUGGGCAGGUUGAAGGGGGGGUAAGACCUCCUGGAGGACCGAACCCACCAACGUUGAAAAGUUGGGGGAUGACCUGUGGGGAGGAGUUAAAGUCUAAUCAUACCUGGAGAUAUCUCGUUCUCUCCGAAAUAGCUUUUGGGCUAGCCUCGCGUUACAGCGGACGGGGGUAGAGCACUGAAUGGGGCUGGGGCUCGCAAGGGUACCCACUUCAAUCAAACUCCGAAUACCGUUCGCUUUUGUCGCGGGAGUCAGUCUGCGGGGGAUAAUCUCCGUAGUCGAAAGGGAAACAGCCCUGAUCAUCGGCUAAGGUCCCAGAUCUCAUCUUAGUUCAUAAGGUAGUUGGAUCGCCAUGACAGCCAGGAUGUUGGCUUAGAAGCAGCCACCAUUUAAAGAGUGCGUAAUAGCUCACUGGUCGAGGGGUUCAGCGCCGAUAAUUAUCGGGAAUAAGGUGAGAACCGAAGCCAUGGGUUUCCAACAUUAGUUGGAAGCGGUAGGAGAGCGUUCCUGUCGGCGUCGAAGCGAUCCCGGAAGGGUUCGUGGAGCGGCAGGAAGUGAAUAUGCCGGCUUGAGUAACGAUAAAGCGGGUGAAAAUCCCGCUCCCCGAAAGCCUAAGGUUUCCUGGGGAAGGUAAAUCCGCCCAGGGUUAGUCGGAUCCUAAGGCGAGGCCGAAAGGCGUAGUCGAUGGACAGCAGGUUAAUAUUCCUGCACACCGAUGUGCGGUUGAAGCGGCGUGACGGAUCCCUCAGCUCGGCAGGACGGCUAGAAAUGUCCGGGCUCUUUUGAGCCCCGCCGGGGGCGGGGGUUCCAAGAAAAACCGUCCGUGGACAAUCAUCGGUUCCGUACCAAAACUGACACAGGUAGGCGUGGCGAAUAGCCUCAGGGGCUCGAGAGAACGGUUGUGAAGGAACUAGGCAAAUUGACCCCGUACGUUCGCAAGAAGGGGGCCCUCCUUGCCUUCGGGUGAGAGGGCGCAGAGAAAAGGCUCUGGCGACUGUUUAUCAAAAACACAGCACUGUGCUAACUCGCAAGAGGAUGUAUACAGUGUGACACCUGCCCGGUGCCGGAAUGUCAAGGGAGUAGGUUAGCCUUCGGGCGAAGCUUGCAACUUAAGCACCGGUAAACGGCGGCCGUAACUAUGACGGUCCUAAGGUAGCGAAGUUCCUUGUCGGGUAAGUUCCGACGUGCAUGAAUGGUGUAACGACUGGAGCACUGUCUCCACAACCGACUCGGUGAAAUAGUAGUGGCGGUGAAGAUGCCGCCUACCCGCGGCAAGACGGAAAGACCCCGUGGACCUUGACUGUAGGCUCAUAUUGAUCACGGAUAUGUUCUGCGUAGGAUAGGUGGGAGGCUUUGAAGCCCGGAUUCUGGUCCGGGUGGAGCCAAUCUUGAAAUACCACCCUGAAUCUAUUUGUGACCUAACCUCGAUUCCCGUGAAGCCGGGCGAGGGACCGUGUGUGCUGGGCAGUUUGACUGGGGCGGUCUCCUCCUAAAGAGUAACGGAGGAGCACAAAGGUUGGCUCAGCGCGGUUGGAAACCGCGUAUCGAGUGUAAGGGCACAAGCCAGCUUUACUGCGAGACUGACGGGUCGAGCAGUUGCGAAAGCAGGUCCUAGUGAUCCAGCGGUUCCGAGUGGAAGGGCCGUUGCUCAUCGGAUAAAAGGUACCCCGGGGAUAACAGGCUGAUCGCUCCCGAGCGUCCACAGCGGCGGAGCGGUUUGGCACCUCGAUGUCGGCUCAUCACAUCCUGGGGCUGAAGGCGGUCCCAAGGGUUCGGCUGUUCGCCGAUUAAAGUGGUACGCGAGCUGGGUUCAGACCGGCGUGAGCCAGGUCGGUCCCUAUCUGCCGUGGGCGUUGCAGUAUUGAAGGGAUUCUUCUUUAGUACGAGAGGACUUGGAAGGAGCCACCCCUGGUGCGUCUGUUGGCAUGCUCAUGCCAUCGCAGAGUAGCUAAGUGGCGCAGGGAUAACCGCUGAAAGCAUCUAAGCGGGAAGCCUCCCCAAAGAUGAGUACUGCUGGCCCGACUCGAUCGGGCGAAAGACCCCCGGAAGACUACCGGGUUGAUAGGCCGCAAGUGCAAGGGUCGAAAUACCCUCAGCUGAGCGGUACUAACGGUCGAAUGCUUGGUCAC
RNAcentral lists this ribosomal RNA (2846 nucleotides) under Planctomycetota bacterium. RNAcentral's name for it is "23S ribosomal RNA". It matches the Rfam family "Bacterial large subunit ribosomal RNA". The record is from RNAcentral. Lineage: Bacteria; Pseudomonadati; Planctomycetota.